Molecule: ribosomal RNA, 245 nt
Filed under: uncultured bacterium
Lineage: Bacteria
Description: partial small subunit ribosomal RNA
Rfam family: Bacterial small subunit ribosomal RNA
Source: RNAcentral
AGAAUCAACGCUGGCGGCGUGCCUAACACAUGCAAGUCGCACGAGAAAGGGUAGCAAUACCUGAGUAAAGUGGCGCACGGGUGAGUAACACGUGAAUGAUCUACCUCCGAGUGGGGAAUAACUGAGAGAAAUCUUAGCUAAUACCGCAUAACACUUACGAGUCAAAGCAGCAAUGCGCUUGGAGAGGAGUUCGCGGCCGAUUAGUUAGUUGGCGGGUAAUCGGCCCACCAAGACGAUGAUCGGUA